Molecule: ribosomal RNA, 530 nt
Filed under: uncultured bacterium
Lineage: Bacteria
Description: bacterial SSU rRNA
Rfam family: Bacterial small subunit ribosomal RNA
Source: RNAcentral
AGAGUUUGAUCCUGGCUCAGGACGAACGCUGGCGGCGUGCUUAAAACAUGCAAGUCGAACGGACUUCUCAUGAAGCUUGCGAUUGAGAAGUUAGUGGCGGACGGGUGAGUAACGCGUGGGCAACCUGCCCCUGAGCCCGGGAUAACAGUUCGAAAGGACUGCUAAGACCGGAUAUACUUGCGGUGAAGCAUUUCACUGCAAGGAAAGGGAACGCUCAGGGAUGGGCCCGCGUCCCAUUAGCUAGUUGGUGAGGUAACGGCCCACCAAGGCGACGAUGGGUAGCCGGCCUGAGAGGGUGAACGGCCACACUGGGACUGAGACACGGCCCAGACUCCUACGGGAGGCAGCAGUUGGGAAUCUUCGGCAAUGGGCGCAAGCCUGACCGAGCAACGCCGCGUGAGUGAUGAAGGUUUUCGGGUCGUAAACCACUGUCAGUGGGAAAGAUGGGUGCCGGUGUUAAUACCAUCGGCAUCUGACGGUACCUGCAGAGGAAGCCCCGGCCAACUCCGUGCCAGCAGCCGCGGUAAUAC